RNAcentral lists this ribosomal RNA (550 nucleotides) under Klebsiella pneumoniae. Its description in RNAcentral is "bacterial SSU rRNA". It matches the Rfam family "Bacterial small subunit ribosomal RNA", at positions 1 to 542 of the family's 1533-position model. Lineage: Bacteria; Pseudomonadati; Pseudomonadota; Gammaproteobacteria; Enterobacterales; Enterobacteriaceae. The record is from RNAcentral.
AAAUUGAAGAGUUUGAUCAUGGCUCAGAUUGAACGCUGGCGGCAGGCCUAACACAUGCAAGUCGAGCGGUAGCACAGAGAGCUUGCUCUCGGGUGACGAGCGGCGGACGGGUGAGUAAUGUCUGGGAAACUGCCUGAUGGAGGGGGAUAACUACUGGAAACGGUAGCUAAUACCGCAUAACGUCGCAAGACCAAAGUGGGGGACCUUCGGGCCUCAUGCCAUCAGAUGUGCCCAGAUGGGAUUAGCUAGUAGGUGGGGUAAUGGCUCACCUAGGCGACGAUCCCUAGCUGGUCUGAGAGGAUGACCAGCCACACUGGAACUGAGACACGGUCCAGACUCCUACGGGAGGCAGCAGUGGGGAAUAUUGCACAAUGGGCGCAAGCCUGAUGCAGCCAUGCCGCGUGUGUGAAGAAGGCCUUCGGGUUGUAAAGCACUUUCAGCGGGGAGGAAGGCGAUAAGGUUAAUAACCUUGGCGAUUGACGUUACCCGCAGAAGAAGCACCGGCUAACUCCGUGCCAGCAGCCGCGGUAAUACGGAGGGUGCAAGCGUU